AGGAGCAGCAGCAGCAGCAGGAGCAGGAGCAAGCUGAGCAUAAAUAAUGUUUAACUAUUUAGUACGAGUCACUUAUGAACUAAGCAAGUUUUUUAAUUAUUAUCCAUUAAGCAAAGGACGCGAAUAGGAAGGCGCACAGAGCAGCAAACGAAAGAAUUAUGUAAAUUAAUAUAUAGAAAUCUUUGCAAAGACAACUCUCAAAUUGGAGCUUGGUUGUCGCUUUUGUAGUUCUUCCACUGAACAACGUUCCCGUUGAAUAUGUAUUUAGUUUUGCGCAUAUUUUUCCACAGUAAAUAAAGCAAAAUUAUAAAUAAAAACCAA
This is a long non-coding RNA of Drosophila subobscura, 321 nucleotides long. RefSeq lists it as uncharacterized. The transcript is spliced from 2 exons. The record is from RefSeq and is a predicted model, not a curated record. NCBI's taxonomy places the organism in Eukaryota, Metazoa, Arthropoda, Insecta, Diptera, Drosophilidae.